GGCUGGGUAGCUCAGUCGGUUAGAGCGUGGUGCUGAUAACACCAAGGUCGCGGGUUCGAUCCCCGUUCGGUCCC
RNAcentral lists this transfer RNA (74 nucleotides) under Apaloderma vittatum (bar-tailed trogon). It matches the Rfam family "tRNA". From Rfam's summary of the family: Transfer RNA (tRNA) molecules are approximately 80 nucleotides in length. Lineage: Eukaryota; Metazoa; Chordata; Aves; Trogoniformes; Trogonidae. The record is from Rfam by way of RNAcentral.